AUAGAUUAUAUAGAAAAUACUUAUAUACAAUUAUAUACAAAAUAUAUAAAUACAGAACCCGUCGUAAAAAUAAAUUAGUAUUUUUCGGAAAUUCUCGGUAAGAAAGAGGGGGAAAUACAGAACCCGUCGUAAAAAUAAAUUAGUAUUUUUCGGAAAUUCUCGAUAAGUAAGUGGGGGAUGUAUUUUUUUUUCUGUUUUAAGAAAAGGAAAAUCUUAUUUCCCGAAUCAUUGUACAUUGCAAUUUGAAUUAGGAAUUCUUUGUCCAACUCUAAGCAGCCCUUAACUACAUAUGCAUCUGAUCAUAUAUGUAUUAUCUAUUCCAACAAAUAAUACAAAAGAAGAAGGUUGUAU
RNAcentral lists this long non-coding RNA (351 nucleotides) under Nicotiana benthamiana. Its description in RNAcentral is "long non-coding RNA (NBEN_LNC005484)". Lineage: Eukaryota; Viridiplantae; Streptophyta; Magnoliopsida; Solanales; Solanaceae. The record is from RNAcentral.